AUGGGUUUGGAACGACAUGAGGGUAAGUUAUUAAUGACAUAAUUUUGAUUUUGGGUGAACUAACCCUUUAAGGAAAUCGGGUCAUUUUGACUUCAUGUUGUGUUUAACAUUUCACUGUGUGUUUACAAUGUAAUACAAGUAAUUGUUUGGCUUGUAACUUUUCUAUCAUUUGAAAGCAGUGUUUGUGCUAAUGAUCAGUCGGGCCCAUUCUACGGCCGUAUAAUUGAUACAACUGCAAAUUAGCCUCUAAAGAGAUAAUGAUAUAAAAUCCAGAUUCAAUCAAAUCUGGUUCAAUAUGCACUUUGCUCCUUCAAGCAUUGUUUGCAUUCCCCAAGCAGAAAUGAAUCACUCUAAUAAUUCAUGAGCUUGCAGUGCCAAAAUGCUAAACGUGCCACGUGUGAUGUCUGCAGGAGAAAGGGAGGGCAAAAACAAACAGCACGCGUCCCGAGAUGAGUGACUGCUUGCGGAGGCCUUGGGAUCUCUGCUUCUGCUCGCUAGGAAUAGGAUUCUAGGUCAGCAAGGAAAUCCCAUUAUUACGGCAAGCCGUGAUGGAUAACUUUAACCCUACAUGCAUGUGCUUUUGCGCUUGCGUGUGUCUGUGUGCUUUUGUGUUAUUCGAACACUUGCAGAAAAUGUUUGAUGGUGUUUGCUAGCACAUGUAUGCUCGAAUAAGUUGCUAUUUACUCGGUCAGAACGUGAAAACAACUGCCACCCUUGGUGCUGAAUGGGACUGAUUGCUAGUCAGUAAGCAGGCGACGGAUGAUCACUGUUAUCUGGACGAGGCAGAAGGGCUGGGGGAGGGUGCCUGUACCUAACAGACACCCCAAAGGAAAAACCUCAACGGCUUGGAGGGUUGCAUGAAACCAAAACAAGAGGAAUGCAAUGAAAGACCUGAAAUUCAGUCCCGAGGAAGCUACUUUGAACUUUUGCUGAGCUUCUUGUAGUACAACUACAGUAAAGUAUUAUCAAAAAUAGUAAAUAAAAUGAGACCACUGAGAACACAGAAAUAACCAGAACUUCCCCAUUUAUAAUUAUAUAGAUGUGAACAGCAGUCUCUGACUUCGUGCUAAAGUUCAGAGAACCUAACUCGCAUUGAGCUCAGGACAAGAAUGAAGCAAGUGAACCACGCUUCCUUUUUCCUGCCUGGAAAAGGGAUGUGGAAAACUGUGGGGCUGUACACCUUUUUCCGGAUGUACGCAGACUACUGCAUGAUUGUCUAAAAGGAUGCAUGAAACAAUUUUUCAAAUUCUGGCUCAUAUAGGACAAGCCACUAAUUAUUUUAUCAGUAUGCUGUGCCCAAGAACAAAUAAAUGGCCAAUAUUAAAA
Molecule: long non-coding RNA, 1326 nt
Organism: Carassius auratus (goldfish)
Lineage: Eukaryota; Metazoa; Chordata; Actinopteri; Cypriniformes; Cyprinidae
Exons: 4
Source: RefSeq, a predicted model, not a curated record